GGGUGAUAAGAAGUAGAGGAAUGAUGAGUGUCCAGCGCUCAUUGCGAGCAUAGCUAAACAUAAGGCACAGAAAUGGAGUAGCAAAGGUCUUUUAGUGUACAGCCUGCUGGAAACCAUUAGAAGAAGAAGGAAUAGCAAAGUGAACAGAUAUGGAUUACAUGUGGGGAAACACAAGACCUGUAGAGGGCAGUAAUACGUCUCUGAUGCGUCUCGGCUGCUGGAAAUUCAGAAGAAGAAGAACAAAGAUGGCGACCCUGUUUAGUAACAAACCAGCCACAGUAAUCUUCAGUAGCACUUAAAGACGUCUUUGUUUAUCGUCGUUGUUCGGUGUUAAAAGACCACCGGAGGGAGAAUGGCUCACCGCUACCUGCGGCUGUCAGCGGGAUGUCGGAGCUUGUUCCGCCUGCUGUCGCCCUCUGGAGCUCCCAGCAGAACGGUGGGCUCUUGGACCGCUGUGGACCAGGUGGAGAGAGAGCAGACUCUGCUAAAAGACCUGCUGGGAGCCUACAGGACCCUCUGCUCCAAGCCCCCCAAAGGUAGGGGCGUGUGUGUGGGUGUGUGUAUGUGACUGUGUCCAACCUCUGUCAUACUGUUAUGUUCAUGUUGUGUAAUGAUGUGUUUUUGUGCUUCAGGUUUUGAGAAAUAUUACCCAGACAGUAAGAAAACUCCUGAAAACACUGAAGCAGAGUCGUCUGCUAAAG
This is a long non-coding RNA of Gouania willdenowi (blunt-snouted clingfish), 701 nucleotides long. Lineage: Eukaryota; Metazoa; Chordata; Actinopteri; Blenniiformes; Gobiesocidae. The record is from Ensembl.